This 573-nucleotide ribosomal RNA is filed under the name Triticum aestivum (bread wheat). RNAcentral's name for it is "partial small subunit ribosomal RNA". Lineage: Eukaryota; Viridiplantae; Streptophyta; Magnoliopsida; Poales; Poaceae. The record is from RNAcentral.
AUGCUUUAUGGCUUAGAAUCGGGACUUCAACGACGUUUUGAACGUCAUGGAGCAUAUGAGAUGUUCCAGGAGUUAAAGUUAAUAUUUCAAGCAAAUGCCCGGAUUGAGAGAUAUGAAGUCUCCAAUAAGUUCUAUAGCUGCAAGAUGGAGGAGAACAGUUCUGUCAGUGCGCAUAUACUCAAAAUGUCUGGGUAUAAUAAUCACUUGAUUCAAUUGGGAGUUAAUCUUUCAGAUGAUUGCGUCAUUGACAGAAUUCUCCAAUCACUGCCACCUAGCUACAAGAGCUUCAUGAUGAACUAUAAUAUGCAAGGGACGAAUAAGACUAUUCCCGAGCUCUUCGCAAUGCUGAAAGCUGCGAAGGUAGAAAUCAAGAAGGAGCAUCAAGUGUUGAUGGUCAACAAGACCACUAGUUUCAAGAAAAAGGGCAAAGGAAAGAAGAAGGGGAAUUUCAAAAAGAAUAGCAAGCAAGUUGCUGCUCAAGAGAAGAAACCCAAAUCUGGACCUAAGCCUGAAACUGAGUGCUUCUACUGCAAGCAGACUGGUCACUGGAAGCAGAACUGCCCCAAGUAUUUG